GCAAGAAGAGUCUGGGCGAUUGAAAAAUCGGGCGAACGGGAAAUCGGGCGAACAAUUUUUAGGACGAACGAACGUGGAACCUAAACACCCCCACCCCCCUUGAAAAAUCUUUCAACCCCUCAACAAAAAAAUACCCAACUACUCUGUCCACAAGGACCUGUGUGAAUUCCAAAAUAUUUGCAGAUAUAUAAAUUCAGAGGCUUAUAUUUACAUCUAGAAUGCAAGACUGAAAUUCCUAUAUAGUCACUUCCCAAAAAUGAGUUGUACUGUACAUACAUGUAUAUUUACAAAAUAUUUAUCAGUUUCAAAAAUAUUUAUUAAAUGUUGUUUUCUGUACUUGCAGGUAUUUGCAGGGCACUCCAUUAUACCACACUUAUAGCUUCUCCAAGAUUAUAAAUAUGAUACAUGUACACAGGCACAGUUACUUGUCAUCACAAGGAUCAGAAUUCAAGUACCAGAAUAGUCCUAACUCCUAAAUCAUCCUGAUUUGUCAAAAGUACAUGCAAGUAUUUUAUUAUUUUUUGGACACUUUUUUUUAGCUCACCUGAGCCAAAGGCUCAAUAACAGAAAAGCUAUAUUUAGUCAUAUUGACAUGUUUACAAGCAUCCUCAUGUAUUGAAGAUGUAAAUUUGUUCAAAUCAUGAGUACCCUUUGUGGUAGGGUGGGAAAUGAUGGGGAGUCAAAUUCCCUCGCCAAACCACCACCACACCCUUUCAGUAAACUUUCAAUUCUGAUCUGAUUUAUACAUUUUCCUAGCCGAUGUGCUCAGGUUAGCGAUGUGGCCCCUGGACCUUUUGUUUAAAAUUUUGACAAUUUUGACUACGCUGGAAAUAUUUCAUUUAAUUUUUCUCACCUAAGCCAGAAGCUUAAGUUAAUUAGCCCUUUUUGCAGUCAAAAUUUGUCUGUCAUAAUUAUUUUUUUCAUUUUCAUUGUUGAUCCAAACUUUAAACACAUUUUACUUAAAAAAAAUAACAAUUGUAAAAAUACCAGCUUAUAAAAAGUUAUUAAAUUUGUGAGAUUCUCAAUAUGAUACAUUUCAGCUACUGACACAACAGAAGAAUGUGGAGCAAGUGCCAAUAAAGGUUUGACUGAUGGGGUAUACCUGACUUCUCGGCAUUCUGGUUAUCACCAUCCGAUUCAGACAUGCCAGUGAAGAUCAACUUCAAGGUGACCCUUGCAUUGUGAGCUUUUGCUGAUGGACACAAAUUGUUCAGAAGAAAUCCAGCUACCACAUUAAUCACAGCCUGAUAGAUUUCUGGCGUGACUUCAGAAGAAACAUAGAUGCAAUGAUGAAACAUUAUCUCCAGACAUAUGGGUGGCCCUUGAGCAGAGAAUUGUCAAAAAUUGAAGCAUUCAAUAAAGAAGAUUAAGAAACAGAAUGUGUCCAGUUGUUUGUUCAUCAAAAGAAUAACUUGGAUAAUCAUAGUGGUGCUUCCUCAAAAUCUGCAUGUGUUUAAAUUAAGCAGUUUCAAAUGAAGAUUAAGAUAAAGCUCAUUAAGUCAUUUGCUGGAUCAGAUUUUGAGAUUGUACUUAUUGCAUCUUUAUGAAUAUCAGUAACAGUGAAACCUUGAUGAUUAGUUGUAGAAAUUCAUAUACAGAUCUAAGUAUUAGAAUUUCCUAAUACUUUUCCUCAAAUGGAUUAAAAGAAUUGAAAGUCCUAUAUAACUGUGUACAUCACAUGGAUUUGAUAUGAAUAUCACAUAAAAUUCACACGAAAUUCAUAUGAAAAUCUGUAAAGAAAGUAGCAAAAAUAUUCAUAUGAAUUUCGUGCGAAUUUUUUUUCGCAUGAUAUUCAUGCGAAUUUCAUGUAAAAAUCACAUG
Long non-coding RNA from Saccostrea cuccullata (small rock oyster), 1821 nucleotides. RefSeq lists it as uncharacterized. The transcript is spliced from 4 exons. NCBI's taxonomy places the organism in Eukaryota, Metazoa, Mollusca, Bivalvia, Ostreida, Ostreidae. The record is from RefSeq and is a predicted model, not a curated record.